UUAUGAAUGGGGGGCCGGAAAAGAACUUAACCCGUGAUUGCUGGGGCUAACUCUAGCUCUUCCAGGGGCCGUCGUUCUUUUACAAAGGGGGGUGGAGGUUGUUGUUGACUUUUUUUUUUUUUAUGAAUGGAGGGCGGCGGCGACUGCAGCAGCUGGCUCAGCUGCGCGGGCUGUACCCCCUCCCAGCCUGCGAGAGGAGCUUUCCUGAAGGAGGAGAUGAGCAGACCCUGGGCUUGGUGGGAUGGUGGAAUGAUGGAGGAGCCCCCAGUCCUGAGCUGGCAGGAGCCUCUGAUGCCCAGGUACAACUGCUCUGCUAGAGGCAAAACCCUAACAACUGCGUUCCUGCCCGUGCUAACGACAGUCCUUUCACCGAGCCUCACUGAAGCUAGUGGAAAACCCGCACCAACAAAACCGAGGAACAAAUCCAGAGGGUAGACAACGUGGGAAUAACUGCAUGGAGCUCAGAUUCCAUUUCUCAGCUUCUGGAACAACAAGAGACACACAGGGAAGUCAGAACCUUUGAAGGCCAAUGCCACUCCCUUCACCCACCUCCACCACGAAGUAGCACUUUUGGGAAUUCUUCCAUCUCAGAAGAGCUUUGUCAUCUCUUACAUCAGUUGGAGCUGGCAGCUCUCAAAUCCAUCUUCUGCACCCCAGAAGUUCCGUGGGACACUCCCUGACUGAAGGGGAGGCAGCUGACCAGUGCCCGCUCAGCCUGCUGCUCAGCAGAGAGUUUGUGAAGCCACAUACCGAACCCUUUCCCACAGCCCAGGGAAGAUGAGUCAGAAACAUGGCAAACAAAAGCCAAGGAGGGACCUUUGCAUGAGGCUGCGAGCCCACCUGUCCAUCGGCAUCCGCAUCAUGGAGCAGGACGGGGAGUGCUGGACCCUGGGCUGCAGAGAGCCAGCUCCACCUCUUUUCUUCCUGAUACAUGCGGAUGCUCCCCAUUACAAUGGAUGCUCCUGGACUAAACCUAUGUGUGCAAAUGCAGAUUAGACACAGAUGUUCCAGCAGGGCUGGCCCCACGCGGACAAACUCUGUCUAAAGAAGAGCAGAAGAGUUGGCAGAGGAAAUCAGAACUUGUUUCCUAAGAACUUCCCAGGUAGAAGAUUUAAUCGCUGCUCCAGUGACAUGUGUGUUAAUGAGGGAGGAAAGAAAAAGGACCCCCUAACAGAUGGAGAGAGAGGCUCUGAUUACUGAAAGCAGUUUUACAGUCUCCUGUACACGGCCUGUGAGGACCCUCACUCCAGGAUCAGCUCUCAUUUUCGUGGAUUGGGACCUGCCCUUUGGUGAUAUUGGGAAUGUUGGAGGAGCAAUGCCUGGAUCUCCCUCUAUGCUGCCCAUGAGGCUAUCUGCAUCUUUCACCUUUCCAGGUGGAGUGGGCAGGGAACUCAAGUCCGGGAAGGGUGGAUGUUGUGUCCGAGCAGGGUCUGAGCAUAGCCUGCGGGUCUCUUCUCCUGCUCCUAGACUGGCGUACUUGUCAGGAAAGUUCAGCUGUCCCCUGACUGAAAUAGGACGCUCUCGUUCCUUCAGAUAAGGAAAAUGAGACAUGAAGAGGUUAAGUUGUCCAAGGUCACAUGCAGGGUCUGGGAGUUCCUCCGCCUCUGUUAGAGAUUCUCUGAUAAAGUUGACAAUUAGAGCAGAAGAAAUUGCUGUACUGAAGAAACCAAAUUUGACAAAGUCAGCCUCGCAGCCGUGUCUGUUUUUGCCUGUGCACAGAGCAGACAGCUAGAGACGACAGUCAGCUCUCUAGAGCUAUUUAUUGAACGAAAAAAUAGACCAGAAAGAAUUACUCUUGAAGAGAAAUCUAUUUCAAAAAGAGUUGACAUUUGUGAGGAGUCCAGGACAGUCAUUUUGCAGAUUAUGCGGCUUAUUUGUUCAACAGUUCACAGUAAACACCUCCUGUGUGCCGGGCACUGUGCUGUGAGAGGAGAACAUCGUCGUCAAG
Molecule: non-coding RNA, 1948 nt
Organism: Equus caballus (horse)
Lineage: Eukaryota; Metazoa; Chordata; Mammalia; Perissodactyla; Equidae
Source: RefSeq, a predicted model, not a curated record